GCGUCCGUAGCUCAGUUGGAUAGAGCACGUGCCUUCUAAGCUCGUGGUCGCUGGUUCGAAUCCAGCCGGGCGCGCCA
This 77-nucleotide transfer RNA is filed under the name Sphingomonas kyeonggiensis. RNAcentral's name for it is "tRNA-Arg". It matches the Rfam family "tRNA". Rfam says of the family: Transfer RNA (tRNA) molecules are approximately 80 nucleotides in length. The record is from RNAcentral. RNAcentral also lists the same sequence under 4 other names. Lineage: Bacteria; Pseudomonadati; Pseudomonadota; Alphaproteobacteria; Sphingomonadales; Sphingomonadaceae.